RNAcentral lists this non-coding RNA (22 nucleotides) under Arabidopsis thaliana (thale cress). Lineage: Eukaryota; Viridiplantae; Streptophyta; Magnoliopsida; Brassicales; Brassicaceae. The record is from RNAcentral.
UACUAGAUAUUUCAUCUUCGUC